AAAUCUCUAUCUUUUCUCAAAUGCCACAUUUUCAGCACUUCUUCCAGCCGAGUCCCUACUUUAGCUGCCUUAAAAGCUCCAAACAGCGAAGGAGGACAUGAAUCAGAAAGGAAAGAAAUGGCCCUUCUUCCCACCCUCCUGUUCUUCCUCUCCUUCAUCCCAUCCCCAGGGGCAUUUCUGAGUUGCUGUCCAAAGAUGGAAAAAAUAAUCAAUUCCUCAGGCUUCCAAAUGAUGCCCUUUGAACAGUAAUAAUAGUUACUAGAGUGAAAAAAGUCUACAAAACAGUGUCUCAGAUGGUAAAGAAUUUUAACUGAUGGAAUUUUGAAGCCUUUAUAGUUGUGAAAAUGAGACAUGGGUAUGUGAGGAGGGAAAUAAAUUUAAUCAUCCGGUGCUGAGAGAAGGGGAUGGAAGAUCUUGAGUUCAUACGAAAUAGGAAUAAGCACAAAGAGUGGAUGGUGAGAACAAAUGAAACUAGAGGAGAUCCUACAACCAAUACAUGAAGGUCUCUGUAACAAAGACAAGUCAGGUACAACACUUAUUAUGCAGAUUGUUAGUUGAUGAACAGAUAAAAGGUUGCAGGGCAGUACUGUCGCAAGGUGGCUAAUACAUGGAGCAUAAGGAACAGCAGCAAAAUGGGCCAGUAUUGAUGUGUCUAUCAAUUAGAUUGUGUGAUGUUUAUUGUCACUCUAGCAAACUGCAAUUAAGGGACCCCACCAUAACCAGAUGGUACUAAGAAGCCUUGAGGUUCAUUGAAGGUGGCAAGCAGCUUGAAGCUUGAAAGGUGCUUCACUUGCGAGCUUAAUUAGAAGCGACAUUGCAGCAAGCAGGCAGAGUAACAUGCUGUGAUAGUAGAGGAUAGUCUCACCCUAAUUCCUGUUGGGCACUCUUUUGCAAGAGGACCCCACCUUAACUGCCUCCAUGUUUUGUUGUGUAUGGAUCUUGAUAGAGGUCAAGAAUCUACCAAUAGCUCAAAUGCACUAAUGACAGACAACCUGUAGGAAUUUCUGUAUGGCAUUUCUCGAUUCCCCUACCUAGCCUGGUAGAAGAAGAGAGGCUAUGGCAGGUGAGCUGUUACUGGACCAUCAGAUUGAAUGCAAGACAAUGUUUCCAGAAGUAUUUGCAGUACAAGGAACAAUGGGCCGAACUACCAAGAGAACAUGACGCAACAAUCUCAAACCUUCAAGCUGAGCGUUCAUGACAGGGGUGAUGAAGGUUGACACUUGCUUAUAUCCCAUGGAAUUGAGCACAUGGUUUUUGUUUAUAUAUUAUGAUUAAAUGGAGGGAUAGAAGUUGAUGGACAACCUUAGCUGCCAUAGAGAAUCUUCCAGGUUUCCCUGGUCUUGUUUCAAUACAAAGGAAUGGCAACUGUUUUGUUGCAGCAACGAUCUUUAUGCAGCUUAAUAUGAGGUGUCAAGUACGUAGACAACAAAGGUGGUGGUUUCAAACCUACUAUUAUUUUCAAGGGCCAUUCAACCUGGAUUUUAGCUGACCCCACCAGAUAUUUCUUUGGCCACCCCUAGGUUGGCUGACCAUAUAAAAGACAACCACAUGGCUGAAGCUCCCUAAAGCCUGUCUCAGAUGUUCUCCACCAGGUUCGGUCGGAAAUGGCGCCGGAUGAGAGGCUUCCGGCUGCAUGCUUGCCGGUUUUAUCUUAUCCGGCUUCGAAUCAGGCUCUUUAGAUUCCUUGGUUUCUUCAUUCAUGGUCUGGAAACCAUGAAGAGAGGUGGGAAGAGCAGCAGUAGACGGCAGUUUGAAAGGCAAAGAACCUGCAGCAGAAGAGCUCUGAUUUUUGACGGAUGUCAAGCAAGCCAACUAGACUAUAAUAUACAAUCAUUCUAUGCAGAAGCCAUAGCAGAUUGCUUGGAGUUCAUCAAGAGAUCAUCUAUGUCAGUUGAUGAUGGUUCAGACCCCAAACAAGAAGAUGUUCCCAUUGUUAACAAUGGCAGUCAGAGAGGGAUGCUUGUAAUAUGAUUGUUAUAAUGGUCGUCUUUUUGUUGCAUGAGCUCUCAGUGAGCCCUGUAGUCUAUUUCCUCUUCUGUUCCUUGAUAUGUGAGCUCAUUAGAAUCGCGAAUCCUUUUUGAACACCACCGAUUUAGUUUUUACUUGUUCAUUAGCUGAAAUGUAAUUUUGAAUUGCUAUGGUCUUGGUAAGUUGUU
RNA transcript from Elaeis guineensis (African oil palm), 2156 nucleotides. It is a transcript of the gene named DExH-box ATP-dependent RNA helicase DExH13, with no coding region annotated. Lineage: Eukaryota; Viridiplantae; Streptophyta; Magnoliopsida; Arecales; Arecaceae. The record is from RefSeq and is a predicted model, not a curated record.